This 422-nucleotide unclassified non-coding RNA is filed under the name soil metagenome. RNAcentral's name for it is "partial contains 5.8S ribosomal RNA, internal transcribed spacer 2, and large subunit ribosomal RNA". The stretch from base 2 to 119 matches the Rfam family "5.8S ribosomal RNA", at positions 37 to 154 of the family's 154-position model. The record is from RNAcentral.
GUGAAGAACGUAGCGAAAUGCGAUAAGUAAUGUGAAUUGCAGAAUUCAGUGAAUCAUCGAAUCUUUGAACGCACCUUGCGCUCCCUGGUAUUCCGGGGAGCACGCCUGUUCGAGUGUCGCGAAAUUCUUCAAGCCUUGGAUGGAUUUUUUUUUGUCUGUCCUUGGGCUUGGUUGUUGGGCUCUGCCGUGUCCUUCAUUGGGACGGCUGGCCUUAAAAGCAUUAGCCGAUCCUCGUGUGGUACUGGUUCUACUCAGCGUGAUAACAAUCUGAUCGUUGAGGACAUCUUCUGGAUGGCCAGUCAUCAUUUGGGUUGCUUCUAAACCGGUUUCGCAGAUUGCUCAAUCUGUGUGCCACUUUUCAGCUUUGACCUCGAAUCAGGUGGGACUACCCGCUGAACUUAAGCAUAUCAAUAAGCGGAGGA